CAGUAGCCGCGGGAAUACGAAGGGGGCUAGCGUUGUUCGGAAUUACUGGGCGUAAAGGGCGCGUAGGCGGCCAUUCAAGUUAGAUGUGAAAGCCCUGGGCUCAACCUAGGAAUUGCAUUUGAUACUGUUUGGCUUGAGUUCGGGAGAGGUGAGUGGAAUUCCCAGUGUAGAGGUGAAAUUCGUAGAUAUUGGGAAGAACACCAGUGGCGAAGGCGGCUCACUGGACCGACACUGACGCUGAGGCGCGAAAGCGUGGGGAGCAAACAGGAUUAGAUACCCCCGUAGUCCCUGUCUCUUAUAC
RNAcentral lists this ribosomal RNA (301 nucleotides) under uncultured bacterium. RNAcentral describes it as "partial 16S ribosomal RNA". It matches the Rfam family "Bacterial small subunit ribosomal RNA", at positions 509 to 807 of the family's 1533-position model. The record is from RNAcentral.